UCAAAAGGAACCAGGUAAAUGUAUAA
This 26-nucleotide unclassified non-coding RNA is filed under the name Mus musculus (house mouse). RNAcentral's name for it is "oocyte_clustered_small_RNA1091". The record is from RNAcentral. Lineage: Eukaryota; Metazoa; Chordata; Mammalia; Rodentia; Muridae.